RNAcentral lists this ribosomal RNA (422 nucleotides) under uncultured archaeon. Its description in RNAcentral is "partial 16S ribosomal RNA". It matches the Rfam family "Archaeal small subunit ribosomal RNA", at positions 323 to 746 of the family's 1478-position model. The record is from RNAcentral.
CUACGGGAGGCUGCAGUCACGGAAACUUUACAAUGCGCGAAAGCGUGAUAAGGGUAUCCCAAGUGCUUUGCUUAUUGUAAGGCUUUUGCCAAGUGUAAAGAGCUUGGCGAAUAAGUGGUGGGUAAGACUGGUGCCAGCCGCCGCGGUAACACCAGCGCCACAAGUGGUAACCACGUUUAUUGGGCCUAAAGCGUUCGUAGCCGGUUUGAUAAGUUUCUUGUGAAAUUGUUUGGCCUAACCAAACAACGUGCAAGAAGUACUGUCUAACUUGGGACCGGGAGGAGUUAGAGGUAUUCCAUGGGGAGCGGUAAAAUGCUAUAAUCCUUGGAGGACCACCAAUGGCGAAGGCUUCUAACUAGAACGGAUCCGACGGUCAGGAACGAAGGCUAGGGGAGCAAAACGGAUUAGAUACCCCCGUAGUC